RNAcentral lists this transfer RNA (71 nucleotides) under Pelomedusa barbata. RNAcentral describes it as "transfer RNA-His". It matches the Rfam family "tRNA". From Rfam's summary of the family: Transfer RNA (tRNA) molecules are approximately 80 nucleotides in length. The record is from RNAcentral. Lineage: Eukaryota; Metazoa; Chordata; Testudines; Pelomedusidae.
GUUAAUAUAGUUUUAACAAAAACAUUAGAAUGUGAAUUUAAAAAUAGAGGUUUAAACCCUCUUACUAACCG